CAGUCGAACGGUGAUAGCAAUAUCAUAGUGGCGCACGGGUGCGUAACACGUAUGCAACCUACCUAUUAUUGGGGGAUAGCCUUUGGAAACGGAGAUUAAUACCGCAUAAUACGAUUGACUGGCAUCGGUUGAUUGUUAAAGCUUCGGCGAUAAUAGAUGGGCAUGCGUCCAAUUAGUUAGUUGGUUAGGUAACGGCUGACCAAGACGAUGAUUGGUAGGGGAUCUGAGAGGAUAAUCCCCCACACUGGCACUGAGAUACGGGCCAGACUCCUACGGGAGGCAGCAGUAGGGAAUAUUGGGCAAUGGGCGGAAGCCUGACCCAGCCAUGCCGCGUGCAGGAAGAAGGCGUUAUGCGUUGUAAACUGCUUUUUUAUAGGAAGAAGGAUCCCUUGCGAGGGAAGGUGACGGUACUAUAUGAAUAAGCACCGGCUAACUCCGUGCCAGCAGCCGCGGUAAUACGGAGGGUGCAAGCGUUGUCCGGAUUUAUUGGGUUUAAAGGGUGCGUAGGCGGUUUAUUAAGUCAGUGGUGAAAGACGGUCGCUCAACGAUUGCAGUGCCAUUGAUACUGGUAGACUUGAGUGUGAUUGAGGUAGCUGGAAUGGAUAGUGUAGCGGUGAAAUGCAUAGAUAUUAUCCAGAACACCAAUUGCGAAGGCAGGUUACUAAGUCACAACUGACGCUGAUGCACGAAAGUGUGGGUAUCAAACAGGAU
Molecule: ribosomal RNA, 711 nt
Filed under: uncultured bacterium
Lineage: Bacteria
Description: bacterial SSU rRNA
Rfam family: Bacterial small subunit ribosomal RNA
Source: RNAcentral